Homo sapiens (human) is the source of this 3215-nucleotide long non-coding RNA. RefSeq lists it as uncharacterized. NCBI's taxonomy places the organism in Eukaryota, Metazoa, Chordata, Mammalia, Primates, Hominidae. The record is from RefSeq and is a predicted model, not a curated record. The transcript is spliced from 4 exons.
AGGCUGGCCAGGGGCUGUGGCCGGAAGAGCCUGAGUCUGGGGCCCACAGCAGGCCAGGCACAACUCUGCCACUCCCCAGGGAAGGAGAUGACUUUUAUCAUCAGUACAUGUCACAAGAAAACAUUUAAAAUGACACUGAAACAAUCAUUGAAAUCAUGGUGCAUGGAGGAAAAAGCCACUUCUCGACAUGGUCUGCACAUACAGUAGAUACAUUCAUUAUUGUCCAAGGGAAGACAGUAACUGCCUUUCAUUUUAAAGAGCUUGGUGGAGAGGCUGAAGAAAUGUGCUGCAGCUGAAGCUACCUUUCCCCCAAGCACAGGAGGCCUCAGCUCCUGAAGCUCUGAAUUUACAGUACACAGUAGCAGACGGCUUGCCCUUUGGAAGGCUCCAUGGAAAGAAGGCUCAUCCCUGACUUGGGGCAACUUGACCGAAGUUUCUACUCUCCAGAAUCUCUUUUCUGUGGUCACCCGACUGGCAAGUGGAAGAUGGAAGCACCAAGGUUCCUGCAAAAGAUAGAUCAAGACCUUUGCUAUCAACCUUUCAGCCCAUCCCAAUGGCCUUGAAUGGCACGUGUCCUGGAAAACCAGGUCUGCUGCCUGUACGCCCGAGCGAAACCUAUGCUCAGCUGGAGAAGAGGACAGCCUUUCAGGGUUCAUGAAUGUUCUCCCUAGAACAGAUGGAAUGGCAGCUACAAUGCCCUUGGGAAUGUGAGGUCCUGGUGGAGUCUCUGGGGAAGUGAAAGAAGCUCCUUUAACUUGACUCCACUCACAGGACAAAGUGCAGGAGACAGAACAGAAUGGAUAGAAGAGGCUUCUCCUUUCUUCUUGCUCUAGAGUGAAGGAGAUGGACAGUUACCUUGAAAUGCUACGGGAAGGAUGAGCAUGGAGAGCUGCCUGUUAUUCUGAGCCAACUUCUGGCAAGAUGCUGGGUGAAUCGACUGCCUAGAAUUGAAGAACUGGCUCUCAAGCAGUUGCUGCUAAAGAAUGCCAGCAAACAAACCACACACAACUGUGGUAAGCCAGGCGGAAAUCCCUCCACCCUCUGGCAUGAGAUGGCAGUCUAGAAAGGACUCUCCAUGAGAUGCCUGGGGCCUGAGGAAGCAGAGGCAUGGACACACUGUUCUACGAUGACUCAGGGCCACCCAUGAGUGGGACAUUCGUGGGGAUGAGAUGGGAGCAGGGAGAAGCAGCAGUUGUAAUGGCCAGCCACGUGGGGACCAGUUCCGUGCCUGGCCUUUCUUUCUCUGGUGGAAGCCAUCUUGUUUUGAUCCUAAGAAAAAUGGGUGUCAUUUUAUCCAGGAAUCUAAGAAUUAUAAUAAUAAAUUAAUAAAGUGAAUGUGAUAAUCAAACUGUGAGGAUACGAACAACAUAAGAUUUAAUGAUCGUUGUCAAAACCAGUCCGUAGGGCUGUGGAACUUUAUCGUACAAUUCGACUUUGAUAUGUGUUUAAAUAUAUUUUCUAAGUUAUCCACAACCCAAAACAGGACCCCUUAGAGGUAAUCUAGAGGAAUCCCUCACGUUACAGACAGAGCCACUGGUUAAGGGUCUAGAGUCACACAGGGAGUUACUGCAGAAUCACUACUGGAACCCUGUGCUCUUUCUGCAGGGAUUCGGAUAUUUUGGUUGGAUUUGCAUUCUUACGUCAAUGUAUGUUCUCCAACUCUGCUCUUACAUAUUGAAAGGCAGGCAGCUAUUUUUAAACACCCUGCCUAUUAGCCUUCGGAACAUAAUAAUAAUGGCAAGCACCCUUUAUUGCUUCGCCGAGCUGCAGACACCCUUCUAGGGUGUGAACAGAGCUCAGUAAAGAUAGCAGCCUCAGGUCUGUGUGUUGCUUUGAGCCACGAGCUGGUCUGCAGGCAGCAGCCAUGGGCCGUGCCUGUGUUGGUAUGUUUAAGAACAUUGGCGAAUACAGGAAUUACAUGGACUAGGUUUAGAAAACAAACAGUAACGUACAAAAAGGAAGGUUUGAUAUGGACUGCAAGGACAUAAAGCAGGUGCACAUGCGUGCACUACCAGAAUAGCUACACGGUGGGAAGGAAUUCCAGAACCACGUGAGAAAGAGUUGUUAGGACAAUGCAGUCGUGAAAUACCAUGUUUCCAACCCUAUCACUCUAUUUUAAAAUAGAUAAUAAUUAUAAUUUUUAUUAAUAUCAAACAAAUUAGCUUUGGGACCUAUGGCCCUAUCUUAGGGGUCACGGCUGCAGUCCCCUUUCUUGCAGACCUGGCAGGCUGCGCAGAUAACUGCCCCCAGCGUUGGCCAACUCUGGACGCUCUCUUCUCCCAUAAAGACACCAGAGAGUGCUCUUCAGCCCCCGUGUUUCAAAGGGAGAACCCAAACCCACCCUAACUUCUGGCAAGACAAAUCACUUAUUAUAGCUGCUCACCUCUUCACAGAGUACCCACCUCCAGGAAAGGUCACUAAAGGUCCUGCCUGGGCCCCUGGCGUGGCACAGGGUCAUGGUCAGUCUUCUCUGGAGCCUGAGUCAGGGCCUGGUGGGGAAAGGCGGUGUCACUUAUAAGGGAGUGGGGAGGUGAGAGCUGGAAAGGGCUGGAAUGGCACCUUUUUAAAGGAAUAAAGCCCUUUAAAGAUCUUCAACUCAGGGACUUGGUCUCUUUGAGAAACAGCACCAUAAUCUAAUUGGAAUAAAAAAAGGAUCUAUUUAAUUAGAAAGAGACUGUUAGGAACUGGAAGCUGGGGAAAGGAGUAGGGACUCACUGGGCCCUUCUCAGGGAUAACAAAGAAUCAAGGGCCUCAGUAGCAAAUUACAGAGUUUAUUUUGAAAAUUCAAAUAAAACCACAAAAAUUCAAAUAAAAACACAUUCUAGACUAUAUCUUUGUAAGCUUUGGGGGACAAACCUCAAAGAGUCCUCCCAAAGGAAAACGCACCAGCUAAGCCAGGUGCCUCCAGGCUCGUAUAAAGGGGAAGGUGAGGUCAGGAGGCCAACAGCCAUUUUUUAGAAGAAUGACACCGCAAGACGUUCCUGGUCUACUAUUUCGCAUGAGGAAAACACGCUUUGGCUUCUGGUGGCUCAAUUGAGAUAAAAGCAGAGAGAGGUACAAUAAAAGGAAUUCAUAACAAACAUUAUGAACACCUGCUUGGAUUAAAAAGUUGACGGUUUCCUGAAACGGGCUCUGCUAAAAGGGACUUCCUGGAGAAAUCAGAUGCCUCUGGAAUGGAAGACGUCCAGGAAAGUUGGGAUGGCUGAACAACAGGU